RNAcentral lists this ribosomal RNA (809 nucleotides) under uncultured bacterium. RNAcentral describes it as "bacterial SSU rRNA". It matches the Rfam family "Bacterial small subunit ribosomal RNA", at positions 8 to 796 of the family's 1533-position model. The record is from RNAcentral.
AGAGUUUGAUCAUGGCUCAGAGCGAACGUUAGCGGCGGGCCUAACACAUGCAAGUCGAACGCGAAAGGGAUUCGUCCCCGGUAGCGUGGCGUCCGGGUGAGUAACACGUAGGAAAUCUUCCCUAGAGCGGGGGAUAACGUCCCGAAAGGGACGCUAAUACCGCAUAAGCCCACGGCGACUCCGGUCGAAGAGGGAAAAGCUGGCCACUGUAUACAAGCUAGCACUUUAGGAUGAUCCUGCGGCGCAUCAGCUAGUUGGUGGGGUAAUGGCCCACCAAGGCUUAGACGCGUAGCUGGUCUGAGAGGAUGAUCAGCCACACUGGCACUGAAACACGGGCCAGACUCCUACGGGAGGCAGCAGUGGGGAAUAUUGGACAAUGGGCGCAAGCCUGAUCCAGCCACGCCGCGUGAGUGAUGAAGGCCUUCGGGUUGUAAAGCUCUGUGGGGAGGGACGAAAACGGCGCACAAGAAACGGUGCGUCCUUGACGGUACCUCCUUAGCAAGCACCGGCUAACUUUGUGCCAGCAGCCGCGGUAAUACAGAGGGUGCGAACGUUGCUCGGAAUUACUGGGCGUAAAGCGCAUGUAGGCGGAUCCAUAAGUCGGGCGUGAAAUCCCCAGGCUCAACCUGGGAACUGCGCUCGAAACUGUGGGUCUUGAGUGUCGGAGAGGAUGGCGGAAUUCCUGGUGUAGAGGUGAAAUUCGUAGAUAUCAGGAGGAACACCGGUGGCGAAGGCGGCCAUCUGGACGACAACUGACGCUGAGAUGCGAAAGCGUGGGGAGCAAACAGGAUUAGAUACCCUAGUAGUCC